AAACGGUUUUAAAGUUCAUAUGGAACCAAAAAAGAGCAUGAAUUGCCAAGGCAAUCCUAAGCAAAAAGCUGGAGGCAUCAUACUACUGGACUUCAAACUAUACUACAGGGCUACAGAAACCAAAAUACCAUGAAGUGGUACAAAAACAGACACAUAGAUCAAUGGAAUAAAAUAGAGAACCCAGAAAUAAAGCUGCACGCCUAUGACAUCUGAUCUCUGACAAAGCUGACAAAGCAAACAUUGGGAAAAGGACUCCCUAUUCAGUAAAUGGUGCUGGGAUAACUGGCUAGCUAUAUGCAGAAGAUUGAAACUGGACCCCUUUCUUACAUCGCAUACAAACAUCGACUCAAGAUGGAUUAAAGACUUAAAAGUAAAACUGAAAACUAAGUUAUAAACACCCUGGAAAACAAUCUAGGCAAAUAGCAUCUGGACAUGGGAACUGGCAAAGAUUUGAUGAAGAAAAUGCCAAAAGCAAUUGCAACAAUAGCAAAGAUUGACAAGUUGUAUCUAAUUAAACUUAAGAGCUUCUGCACAGUGAAAGAAACUAUCAACAGAGUGAAGAGACGAGACAACCUACAGAAUAGGAGAAAAUAUUUGCAAACUAUGCAUCUGAAAAAGGUCUAAUAUCCAGCAUCUCUAAGGAACUUAAACAAAUUUACAAGAAAAAACCAACCACAUUACAAAGUGGGCAAAUGACAUAAACUGACACUUUUCAAAAGAAGGCAUACAUGGGGCCAACAAGCAUAUGAAGAAAAGCUUGAUAUCACUGAUCACUGGAGAAAUGCAAAUCAAAACCCCAAUGAGAUACCAUCUCACACCAGUCAGGAUGGCUAUUAUUAAAAAGCCAAAAAAUAACAGAUGCCGGCAAGGUUGUGGAGAAAAAGGAACACUUAAUAUACUGCUGGUGGGAGUGUAAAUAAGUUCAACCAUUGUGGAAAGCAGUGAGGCACUUCCUCAAAGAACUAAAAGCAGAACUACCAUUUGACCCAGCAAUCCCAUUAUUUGGCAUAUACCCAGAGGAAUAUAAAUUGUUGCAUCAUAAAGGCACAUGCAUGCAUAUGUUCACUGCAGUGCUAUUCACAAGAGCAAAGACAUGGAAUCUACCUAAGUGCCCAUCAUUUGUGAACUAGAUAAAAAAAAAUAUGGUACACAUACACCAUGGAAUACUAUGCAGCCAUAAAAAAGAACAAGAUUGGCCGAUUGCAGUGGCUCACACCUGUAAUCCCAGCACAUUGGGAGGCCAAGGCAGGCGGAUCACGAGGUCAAGAGAUCAAGACCAUCCUGGCCAACGUGGUGAAACCCUGUCUCUACUAAAAAUACAAAAAUUAGCUGGGCGUGGUGGUGUUUGCCUGUAGUCCCAGCUAUUCAGGAGGCUGAGACAGGAGAAUUGCUUGAACUCGGGAGGUGGAGGUUGCAGUGAGUCGAGAUCACGCCACUGCAUUCCAGCCUGGCAACAGAGCAAGACUAAAAAAAAAAAAGACAGGAACAUGGAUAGAGCUGGAGGCCACUAUACUUAGCAAAGUAAUACAGGAACAGAAAACCAAAUACAUGUUCUCAGUUAUAGGUGGGAGCUAAAUGAUGAGGAUGCAUGGACAUAUGGACAUAAAGAAGAGAACAGCAAAUACUGGGGCUACUUGAGGUUGGAGGGUGGGAGGAGGGAGAGAAGCAAAAAAACAAUAAUAACUUUUGGGUAUUAGACUUAGUACCUGGGUGACAAAAUAAUCUGUGCAACAAAUUCCCAUGACAGGAGUUUACUUAUGUAACAAAUCUGCACAUGUACCCCGAUCCUAAAAUAAAUUUUUUUUAAACUGUCUUUAUCGCAUUCUCCCUGAAAGGUAUUUUAAUGAAUAUAGAAUUAUAAUGUGAUAGUGGUUUUCUCUCAGCACAUUCCAACUAGUAUUCUAUUAUCUUCUCACUUCCAUUAAUUUUGUUGGGAUGAAAGCUAUCAGACCAACUGUACCUCUUUUAAAAUUAAUCUUUGCU
RNAcentral lists this long non-coding RNA (1983 nucleotides) under Homo sapiens (human). RNAcentral describes it as "non-protein coding lnc-DERA-5:1". The record is from RNAcentral. Lineage: Eukaryota; Metazoa; Chordata; Mammalia; Primates; Hominidae.